Molecule: ribosomal RNA, 252 nt
Filed under: uncultured Bacteroidales bacterium
Lineage: Bacteria; Pseudomonadati; Bacteroidota; Bacteroidia; Bacteroidales
Description: partial 16S ribosomal RNA
Rfam family: Bacterial small subunit ribosomal RNA
Source: RNAcentral
UACGGAGGAUGCGAGCGAUAUCCGGAUUUAUUGGGUUUAAAGGGUGCGCAGGCGGAGGCACAAGUCAGCGGUAAAAUCGCGGGGCUCAACCCCGCUCCGCCGUUGAAACUGGCAGUCUCGAGUUGGAGAGAAGUAUGCGGAAUGCGUGGUGUAGCGGUGAAAUGCAUAGAUAUCACGCAGAACUCCGAUUGCGAAGGCAGCAUGCCGGCGCUCAACUGACGCUCAUGCACGAAAGCGUGGGUAUCGAACAGG